UGGGGAAUAUUGGACAAUGGGCGCAAGCCUGAUCCAGCAAUGCCGCGUGUGUGAAGAAGGCCUUCGGGUUGUAAAGCACUUUUAUCAGGAGCGAAACGCUGUCGGCUAAUACCCGGCGGAACUGACGGUACCUGGGGAAUAAGCACCGGCUAACUUCGUGCCAGCAGCCGCGGUAAUACGAAGGGUGCAAGCGUUAAUCGGAAUUACUGGGCGUAAAGCGUGCGUAGGCGGUUUCUUAAGUCUGCUGUGAAAUCCCCGGGCUCAACCUGGGAACGGCAGUGGAUACUGGGAGGCUAGAGUGUGUCAGAGGGUGGUGGAAUUCCCGGUGUAGCGGUGAAAUGCGUAGAGAUCGGGAGGAACAUCAGUGGCGAAGGCGGCCACCUGGGACAACACUGACGCUGAGGCACGAAAGCGUGGGGAGCAAACAGGAUUAGAUACCCUGGUAGUCCACGCCCUAAACGAUGCGAACUGGAUGUUGGUCUCAACUCGGAGAUCAGUGUCGAAGCUAACGCGUUAAGUCGCGCUGGGGAGUACGGUCGCAAGACUGAAACUCAAAUG
This 558-nucleotide ribosomal RNA is filed under the name uncultured bacterium. RNAcentral's name for it is "partial 16S ribosomal RNA". It matches the Rfam family "Bacterial small subunit ribosomal RNA", at positions 355 to 907 of the family's 1533-position model. The record is from RNAcentral.